RNAcentral lists this ribosomal RNA (786 nucleotides) under uncultured Burkholderiales bacterium. Its description in RNAcentral is "bacterial SSU rRNA". It matches the Rfam family "Bacterial small subunit ribosomal RNA", at positions 570 to 1356 of the family's 1533-position model. The record is from RNAcentral. Lineage: Bacteria; Pseudomonadati; Pseudomonadota; Betaproteobacteria; Burkholderiales.
CGCAGGUGGUUUUGUAAGACAGAUGUGAAACCCCCGGGCUUAACCUGGGAACUGCGUUUGGAACUGGAAAGCUAGAGUGUGUCAGAGGGGGGUGGAAUUCCGCGUGUAGCAGUGAAAUGCGUAGAUAUGCGGAGGAACACCGAUGGCGAAGGCAGCCCCCUGGGAUAACACUGACGCUCAUGCACGAAAGCGUGGGGAGCAAACAGGAUUAGAUACCAUGGUAGUCCACGCCCUAAACGAUGUCAACUGGCUGUUGGGAGAGAAAUCUUUCAGUAGCGAAGCUAACGCGUGAAGUUGACCGCCUGGGGAGUACGGCCGCAAGGUUAAAACUCAAAGGAAUUGACGGGGACCCGCACAAGCGGUGGAUGAUGUGGAUUAAUUCGAUGCAACGCGAAAAACCUUACCUACCCUUGACAUGUCCGGAAUCCUGCUGAGAGGUGGGAGUGCUCGAAAGAGAGCCGGAACACAGGUGCUGCAUGGCUGUCGUCAGCUCGUGUCGUGAGAUGUUGGGUUAAGUCCCGCAACGAGCGCAACCCUUGUCAUUAGUUGCCAUCAUUCAGUUGGGCACUCUAAUGAGACUGCCGGUGACAAACCGGAGGAAGGUGGGGAUGACGUCAAGUCCUCAUGGCCCUUAUGGGUAGGGCUUCACACGUCAUACAAUGGUCGGUACAGAGGGUUGCCAACCCGCGAGGGGGAGCUAAUCUCACAAAGCCGAUCGUAGUCCGGAUUGGAGUCUGCAACUCGACUCCAUGUAGUCGGAAUCGCUAGUAAUCGUGGAUCAGCAUG